This 410-nucleotide ribosomal RNA is filed under the name uncultured bacterium. Its description in RNAcentral is "bacterial SSU rRNA". It matches the Rfam family "Archaeal small subunit ribosomal RNA", at positions 335 to 747 of the family's 1478-position model. The record is from RNAcentral.
GCAGGCGAGAAUACUGUGCAAUGCGCGAAAGCGCGACACGGGAAGCCUGAGUGCCUUAACUAUGUUAAGGCUUUUCUUGAUCCUAAAAAGCUCAAGGAAUAAGAGCUGGGUAAGACGGGUGCCAGCCGCCGCGGUAACACCCGCGGCUCGAGUGGUAGUCACUUUUAUUGAGCCUAAAGCGUUUGUAGCCGGAUUUGUAAAUCUCUAGGAAAAUACUUCUGCUCAACUGAAGAAAUUUUGGAGAGACUGCAAAUCUAGGGACCGGGUGAGGUUGAAUGUACUUCUGGGGUAGGGGUAAAAUCCUGUAAUCCUGGAAGGACGACCGGUGGCGAAGGCGUUCAACUAGAACGGAUCCGACGGUGAGGAACGAAGGCUAGGGGAGCAAACCGGAUUAGAUACCCCCGUAGUCC